AGUGCUGAAUCUUCAUUUUCCCCUUAUCUCUCAUUCAGUAAACUGAACAAGGAAGGAGAAGAAAACGUUGAGAAGGAAGGAGGGAAAGGAAAGGGGAAGAAUUAUACACCCAACGAUGCCAAUCACAUUUGUUGUGAUACUUUUUUCAGGAAUCCUUCAGGGCAAAGCUGAGAUCAUUCAAGAGUCCAUCAAGACAGCACUGUAUGGAAAACCAUUGGAUCUCUCUUGCAGUCACUCCUCUGCUACAAGUGAAACCAUUUUUUGGUACCGACAGUUCCCCAGCCAGGGUCCUCAAUACAUAGCAUCUGGAUACAAUGGAGAUGUUAAGAGUUCAGAGGUAGAAGGAGUCUUGCGUAUCUCCAAAGACCGAAAGUCCAGUGUAUUUGUCUUCACCAAAGUCAUCUGGGAGGAUUCUGCGGUGUACUACUGUGCCCUGGGUGACACACUGCUACAUCCUGGUUGGUCUGCUGUACAAGAAUUGAUUCAUUCUGGCCCUAGAUCAAGGAGGUACACAGAAGAGAUCUCUGAAAAAUGCACUCUUCUCUUUUCGUUUGCAAGUAGUGUUGCCAGGUUAUCAAAAUAGCAAUAAAGGACACUUGAAGUUUAUGACACGCAGAGCUGACAAUCAGAAAGUAGCUAUUAUCAAGUUUGCA
Molecule: non-coding RNA, 653 nt
Organism: Sceloporus undulatus (fence lizard)
Lineage: Eukaryota; Metazoa; Chordata; Lepidosauria; Squamata; Phrynosomatidae
Source: the annotation of a RefSeq genome assembly